UACAGAGGUCUCAAGCGUUGUUCGGAAUCACUGGGCGUAAAGGGUGCGUAGGCCGCACGGUAAGUCAGAGGUGAAAUCCCGGAGCUCAACUUCGGAAUUGCCUCCGAUACUGCCGUGCUUGAGGACUGGAGGGGAGAUUGGAAUUCACAGUGGAGCAGUGAAAUGCGUAGAUAUUGUGAGGAACACUAGUGGCGAAGGCGAAUCUCUGGACAGUUCCUGACGCUGAGGCACGAAGGCCAGGGGAGCAAACGGG
RNAcentral lists this ribosomal RNA (253 nucleotides) under uncultured bacterium. Its description in RNAcentral is "partial 16S ribosomal RNA". It matches the Rfam family "Bacterial small subunit ribosomal RNA", at positions 524 to 776 of the family's 1533-position model. The record is from RNAcentral.